UAUAUUAUAUUCCUCUUUACACAUUCCAUUAAAAAUAUGGUUUUGAAGUUCCCUGAAACCAAUAGAGAUCUACUUUCUUGUAUGUGGUAAGCAGGUGAAGGUUGAAAAUCUUGUCUUGAUGAUGGGAAGCUCGAAGAAGCUCCAUAUGUUCAAGUGUCAGGGAUGGAGAGUCGCGCACUGCAGCUCUGCUGUUACAUCGGUUAGUAUUGAAAGAAGAGCACCCGUUAAUUGUUUUCAAGGACUUUAUAUUGCUAGGCAGUUAUAUUGGAGGUUAAAGUCACGGUGGAGGCAACUUUUGUCAUGGCGGAGAAGCUCAGUCCGCUUUAGCUAUGAUCCUUACAGCUACUCUCAGAAUUUUGAUGAUGGUUGCUCUAAGGAACACCCAUCACCUUUAGCUCCUCAGUAAUUUUCAUCUUUUUCUUAGAGCAUUAUAAUCAACAAGUAACGAAAGGGUUCCGGCUUCAGUUCCCUGCUGACGCAUGAAGAACGGCAGAUUGCUCCUCCUCUCAGGGGUCGUUGGUUGGAAUACGAUUUAUACCGGUAUAAGUUAUAUUGAGAUAAGUUGUGUUGGGAUUGUUGUUUAUCCAUUGUUUGGUAUGCUGUAUUAAGAAUGACAAUUGCAUAAUUUCUAAGAACAAGGUAUAAGUUAUACUAGUGUUAAUUACCCCACCUUCUAUAAAGUAUAAGCUAUCCCAGUGUUAAAAUUAACACCGAGAUAACUUAUACCUGGUUUGCUAACCAAACAGAGUAUUAAGGUGGUAUUAAAUUUUUAUACCACCAUUAUACCUUCUUAUACCUCAUACCAAACGACCCCUUAAUAUCAGGACUUCACCGGUAAAACAAUUUGGCAAGUUGGGUAGAAAAUUUGGUGAUGUUUCCAUUACAUAAAGUUUUACAUACAGCAUAAUUUUCUCAAUUUAUCCACUUGAGUACUAUAAAUUUCUCUGUACUUUGGUCUUAUAUAUUGAUUCUGUAGUUAGAUCUGAAAAUAUAUGUAAAUGUUUAAAAGUGGAGACUUUCGCAUUCACAGCUUAAUACUGAAUCAGAGCUAGUUGAACUAUGGCACUAG
This 1069-nucleotide long non-coding RNA is filed under the name Nicotiana tabacum (common tobacco). RNAcentral's name for it is "long non-coding RNA (NTAB_LNC011341)". The record is from RNAcentral. Lineage: Eukaryota; Viridiplantae; Streptophyta; Magnoliopsida; Solanales; Solanaceae.